This 429-nucleotide ribosomal RNA is filed under the name uncultured bacterium. Its description in RNAcentral is "bacterial SSU rRNA". It matches the Rfam family "Bacterial small subunit ribosomal RNA", at positions 771 to 1196 of the family's 1533-position model. The record is from RNAcentral.
ACCUAAUAGAUACCCUGGUAGUCCACGCCCUAAACGAUGCGAACUGGAUGUUGGGUACAUUACGGUACUCAGUGUCGAAAGCUAAACGCGUUAAGUUCGCCGCCUGGGGAGUACGGUCGCAAGACUGAAACUCAAAGGAAUUGACGGGGCCCGGCACAAGCGGUGGAGUAUGUGGUUUAAUUCGAUGCAACGCGAAGAACCUUACCUGGCCUUGACAUCUGUCGAAUCCUGCAGAGAUGCGGGAGUGCCGCAAGGAACGACAAGACAGGUGCUGCAUGGCUGUCGUCAGCUCGUGUCGUGAGAUGUUGGGUUUAAGUUCCCGCAACGAGCGCAACCCUUGUCCCUAGUUGCCAGCACAUCAUGGUGGGAACUCUAGGGAGACUGCCGGUGACAAACCGGAGGAAGGUGGGGAUGACGUCAAGUCCUCAU